GGGUAGGUACCAAAGCGGUCAACUGGGGCAGACUGUAAAUCUGCUGGCUAACGCCUACGGGGGUUCGAAUCCCUCCCUGCCCA
RNAcentral lists this transfer RNA (83 nucleotides) under Patescibacteria group bacterium. RNAcentral describes it as "tRNA-Tyr". It matches the Rfam family "tRNA". From Rfam's summary of the family: Transfer RNA (tRNA) molecules are approximately 80 nucleotides in length. Their secondary structure includes four short double-helical elements and three loops (D, anti-codon, and T loops). RNAcentral also lists the same sequence under 2 other names. The record is from RNAcentral.